ACGGGAGGCAGUAGUAGGGAAUAUUGCACAAUGGGGGAAACCCUGAUGCAGCAACGCCACGUGUGGGAAGAAGCAUUUCGGUGUGUAAACCACUGUCAUGAGGGAAUAAUGCUUGCCUUCGGGCAAGUUGAAUGUACCUUGAGAGGAAGCACCGGCAAACUUCGUGCCAGCAGCCGCGGUAAUACGAGGGGUGCAAGCGUUGUUCGGAAUCACUGGGCGUAAAGGGAGCGUAGGCGGAACUGCAAGCGGUCUGUUCAAUCACGGGGCCCAACCCCGUACCAGCAGACCGGACUGCCGUUCUUGGAUAGUUCAGGGGAAGGCGGAAUUCCUGGUGUAGCGGUGGAAUGCGUAGAGAUCAGGAAGAACACCGAUGGCGAAGGCAGCCUUCUGGGGACUCAUCGACGCUGAUGCUCGAAAGUGCGGGUAGCAAACAGGAUUAGAUACCCUGGUA
This 451-nucleotide ribosomal RNA is filed under the name uncultured Fibrobacter sp. RNAcentral describes it as "partial 16S ribosomal RNA". It matches the Rfam family "Bacterial small subunit ribosomal RNA", at positions 341 to 792 of the family's 1533-position model. Lineage: Bacteria; Pseudomonadati; Fibrobacterota; Fibrobacteria; Fibrobacterales; Fibrobacteraceae. The record is from RNAcentral.